This 320-nucleotide ribosomal RNA is filed under the name uncultured eukaryote. RNAcentral's name for it is "partial 18S ribosomal RNA". It matches the Rfam family "Eukaryotic small subunit ribosomal RNA", at positions 1470 to 1796 of the family's 1831-position model. The record is from RNAcentral.
CCCCUAGAUGUUCUGGGCCGCACGCGCGCUACACUGAACAGUUCAACAAGUCUUAACCUUGGCCGAUAGGUCUGGGUAAUCUUUGAACGCUGUUCGUGAUUGGGAUAGACCUUUGCAAUUAUGGGUCUUCAACGAGGAAUUCCUAGUAAACGCAAGUCAUCAGCUUGCAUUGAUUACGUCCCUGCCCUUUGUACACACCGCCCGUCGCACCUACCGAUUGAAUAAUCCGGUGAAAUCUCGGGACGGCGGCUUGGUCGCUUGCGUCCGACUGCUGAAACUUGAUUAAACCAUAUCAUUUAGAGGAAGGUGAANUCGUANCA